Molecule: unclassified non-coding RNA, 328 nt
Filed under: Hevea brasiliensis (rubber tree)
Lineage: Eukaryota; Viridiplantae; Streptophyta; Magnoliopsida; Malpighiales; Euphorbiaceae
Source: RNAcentral
GGCCGACAGAAGAAAUUUUCACUGAUGAUCUAAAUCUCCAUAACUUUGUAAGCAGGUCCUUGCCAGAGAAAAUCACAAAAGUGAUGGACCCAGUAGUAUAUUCAGAAGCAAAUGAGAGUGGUAAAGCCGAGUGCUGCAUCUCAGUGUUGAGAAUUGGCAUAAAAUGUUCCAUGGAAUCAGCGAAAGAUCGAGCGGCAAUGGAAGAAGUCGUGAACGAGCUUUGUUCAAUCAGGCAAGUUUUUCUUGACCAACGGGUCUGACCAUGGAAAAGGACCAAAAGAUUAGAUAAGGCUUUGGAGCUGCGGGGGUGCUUUAUUAUUUUGUUUGC